CUUUAAGAUUAAGCCAUGCAAGUCUAAGAACAAGAAGGUUUACCUUCGAAUCUGUGGAUGGCUCAUUAUAUCAGUGUUAAUUUAUCAGAUUAACAUAGACGGAUAUCCCAGGCAAAUCUUGGACUAAUACGCACAUCAUAACAGCUCUGACUUUCUUGGAAGGAGUGUGCUUACGAGACCAAAACCAAUGCAUGAACUUGUUCUUGCUUUGAAAUUGAAGAAACGUAACUUCACUGAUCGUAGCUCGUCACUACGACAUGUCUGAUAAGACACUGACCCAUCAACUUGAUAUUUGGGUAUGGCCCAGAUAUGGUUACAACGGGUAACGGGGAAUUAGGGUUCUAUUUCCGGAGAGGCAGCCUGAGAAACGGCUACCGGUCCUAAGGGAGACAGCAGGCGCGAAAAUUACCCAAUGCAGACUCUGCGAGGUAGUGACGAUAAAUAACAAUCCGAGUAUUUUUAAUACUUGGAAUUGGAAUGAGAAAACAUUAAAUCACUUAACGAAAUCAAUUGGAGGGCAAGUCUGGUGCCAGCAGCCGCGGUAAUUCCAGCUCCAAUAGCGUAUAUUUAAAUUGCUGAAGUUAAAACGCCCGUAGUCAAAUUUGAAGGGUUAAGGUAUAUGAAGCGCACUUAAGGGUAGAAUCUAGCUAUCACACUUGCCUUCUUCACCACCCUAUAUACUAAGUCUCUUAGCUCUGGGAUGAUAAACGCCGUCAACAACUCGGUUGUACCAUCUAACUAGCACCUCUUUUCAUUAAGUUGGUGCGGCUAUUAGACGUUACCUUGAUUUAAUCAAAGCGUUCAAAGCAGGCAAUGACAGCCCGAAUGUAUCUAAGCAUGGAAUAAUAAAAGAUGACCUUUGGUCCUUUUGUUGGUUUAAGACCAUCGGUAAUGAUGAAAGGAGUAGGUUCGGGACACUAGUAUUUACUCGCUAGAGGUGAAAUUCUUGGAUUGAGUAAAGACUAUCUACAGCGAAAGCAUUUGUCAGGGACCUUCUCGUCGAUCAAGGACGAAAGUUGGGGGAUCGAAGAUGAUUAGAUACCGUCGUAGUCCCAACAGUAAACGAUGCCAACCAAGAGUUGGUGGACAUUUAUAAAUCAUCAUCUCUCCCGAGAAAUCUUAAGUUUUUAGGUUCUUGGGGGAGUAUGGUCGCAAGGCUGAAACUUAAAGGAAUUGACGGAAGGGCACCACAAGGAGUGGAGCUUGCGGCUUAAUUUGACUCAACACGGGACAACUUACCUAGUCCAGACAUAGUGAGGAUUGACAGAUUAAAGGAUCUUUCUUGAUUCUAUGGGUGGUGGUGCAUGGCCGUUCUUAGUUCGUGGACUGAUCUGUCUAGUUAAUUCUGAUAACGAGCGAGACCUUCGUCUAUUAAUUAGGGUUGCGUACCUUUUGGUAUGAUUCAUCCUUCUUAGAGGGACACUUGAUGGUUCAAAAUAAUCAAUGGAAGUUGAAGGCAAUAACAGGUCUGUGAUGCCCUUAGAUGUCUAGGGCGGCACGCGUGCUACACUGAUAGUAACAACGAGUAUUUGUCAUUUAUGGCAUAGCCUGUGCCGUGAGGUAUGGGGAAACUCUCAAUUGCUAUCGUGAUGGGGAUAGUCCAUUGCAAUUCUUGGACUUGAACGAGGAAUUCCUAGUAAUCGUAUAUCAUCAGUAUGCGUUGAUUACGUCCCUGCCCUUUGUACACACCGCCCGUCGCUACUACCGAUUGAAUGUGUUAGUGAGGAUUUCGGAAUGUCGAAGCUAAACACUUCCAUGGGGUCUGUCUUAAUUGGGUACCUGACAAAAGAAGUUAUCCAAACUUGCACAUUUAGAGGAAGUAAAAGUCGUAACAAGGU
RNAcentral lists this ribosomal RNA (1838 nucleotides) under Batkoa obscura. RNAcentral's name for it is "Conidiobolus obscurus partial small subunit ribosomal RNA". It matches the Rfam family "Eukaryotic small subunit ribosomal RNA". Lineage: Eukaryota; Fungi; Entomophthoromycota; Entomophthoromycetes; Entomophthorales; Batkoaceae. The record is from RNAcentral.